RNAcentral lists this ribosomal RNA (469 nucleotides) under uncultured bacterium. RNAcentral's name for it is "partial 16S ribosomal RNA". It matches the Rfam family "Bacterial small subunit ribosomal RNA", at positions 28 to 507 of the family's 1533-position model. The record is from RNAcentral.
GACGAACGCUGGCGGCGUGCUUAACACAUGCAAGUCGAACGGAAAGGCCCUGCUUGCAGGGUGCUCGAGUGGCGAACGGGUGAGUAACACGUGGGUGAUCUGCCCCUUACUUUGGGAUAAGCCUGGGAAACUGGGUCUAAUACUGGAGAGGACCCUGCUGUAGGUGGUGUGGUGGAAAGAUUAGUUUCGGUAAGGGAUGAGCUCGCGGCCUAUCAGCUUGUUGUUGUGGUAAUGGCCUACCAAGGCGUCGACGGGUGGCCGGCCUGAGAGGGUGGACGGCCACAUUGGGACUAAGAUACGGCCCAGAAUCCUACGGGAGGCAGCAGUGGGGAAGAUUGCACAAUGGGCGCAAGACGGAUGCAGCGACGCCGCGUGGGGGAUGACGGCCUUCGGGUGGUAGACUACUUUCAGCCAUGGCGAAGCCCUUGUGGUGACGGUAGUGGUAGAAGAAGCACCGGCUAACUACGUG